Molecule: long non-coding RNA, 559 nt
Organism: Lactuca sativa (garden lettuce)
Lineage: Eukaryota; Viridiplantae; Streptophyta; Magnoliopsida; Asterales; Asteraceae
Source: RefSeq, a predicted model, not a curated record
GUUAAUUUUUUUAAUUCUCGAGUUCGAUUUUAUUCACCUUUACAAAUAUCCAUUGGACAUCCCAAAUUCCCAUUGUCCUGUUAUAUUCGAACUGCCCGGGUAUGAUAACCGAUCCAUUGUAACCCGCCCCAAGUGAAAAACACCAACUAGGGUUUCACUAUAAACCUUCAUCCACUAACCACAAAACGCCCCCAACGCCGUCCGAGUCCUUUAGACGCUGCCUUUGGAGCUCUGAAAUCAAGCCGGCGUCGCAAUGAGGGCUAAGUGGAAGAAGAAGAGAAUGAGGAGGUUGAAGAGGAAGCGUCGAAAGAUGAGACAGAGAUCCAAGUAGAUGAACGAAAGCUUGUCUUCUGAAUCGUCUCCGUUGCUUCUAGCGGUGUAGCUUUACUGUUUUGAUUUAUGUUUUAUAUAGUCUUUGUCUCUAAUUUCCGUACUUGUUACGGUAGUAGUUGAUGAUACAUUUGGCUAUGGAGUUUUGUUAACACCCUGAUACAUUUUGAAGAUGGUUUGCUGAUUAUAUCAACAUUCCUUCAUUUGAAUUAAUUUUCAGUUUAUGCUA